This is a long non-coding RNA of Alnus glutinosa, 483 nucleotides long. RefSeq lists it as uncharacterized. The record is from RefSeq and is a predicted model, not a curated record. NCBI's taxonomy places the organism in Eukaryota, Viridiplantae, Streptophyta, Magnoliopsida, Fagales, Betulaceae. The transcript has 3 exons.
UCUUCUUCUCAUUUUGUUUUUCCUUUGGUUUUUUAUAGAAAAAUCAUGAUGUACGGAGAUUUAACUGUACAAACUCAAAUCCGAUUUUUAAAAAUGUGAUCUACGAAAUCUGAUCUAUGUUUUUACCUAUCGUUUUGAGGUGUUUGACUAUUUGGAACUUGCUAGAGGCUACCCAAACCAUGGGUUUUGGUUUUGUGAAUUUUUGCAACCGUGCAGACAUUGAUGCUUUGGUUGCAGGUUCUGCGGAUAUAGAUAUUGACUCGUCCACCUAGCAUAUGGGAUGCUAUGAUUAGAGCACAUCGCGACAGUCGUAAGUCACGGACUCAUGGAUAGUUCGCAUUUUGAGUAUUUUAUUUAUGGCUCGUGUCCUACAUGGCAUAUGUAUAUGUUGAACUUGUAUUUUAUUAUGUAAUUAGUGUAAUAUGUUUUAUUAUGUAGUUAGACAUGUAAAUGGUUCCUAUUAUUGAUAACAGUUAUACAUUA